AAGUCCAGAUUGAGGCUGUACUUGUAGAAGGAGGAAAACAACGCAGUGCAGAUUUACAACGCAGUCGUGAUGUGAGACAUGCUGAAUGCCAGGUUGGCUCAACAGAGAAUGUUCCCAGGGAAAGAAUAGGACCAGUUUGGAUGAGACUAUUGACUCUCCUGUCAGGGGACCAUAGGGUAGAGCAGGGUCCUCUCCUAGUGCUACAUGGACCAUACAUCCCGGGGCUGUUGCUCAGGGCUGUUCAGGUCUUCAGGGCAGUUGACAGCUGUCAGAGGCAGAGAGAUCCUCAUUCAAGUCUCUGUCCCUGACAGCUGUUGACAGCCCAGCAGCUGUUGACAGUUAAUCCUAAAAGUGUGUCAUGUCUGGGGAAUGGAGGAAAUUCUUCCUCUCCUGCAAACCUCCUUUUCCUGAGAAGAAGGCAAUCUCAGAGGCCUGCGUUUUGAAAGAGAGAAACCUCACCAGGCUAGACGUAGGUCAGAGGUGUUCAUAGCCACCUUUUCCCUCAGAUCCUGUUGCCAGUUCAUGCUGCCUUUUGAAGAAACUCGGUCCUUUCCCUUCUGAGCAGCUGUAGAUUUCCCCUCAGAAGACACUGCAAACAUCGGAUCAAGCGGGUAGUGGAUGUUACACCUCCCCUUUGGUGCUGAGUCUUCUGGGCCUGACACCAGCAGCCUGAGUUUUGGGCAUCCCUGUGAUCUCCAGCAGCAAGGCUGGGACCACGCUGCAAAAUGCCAUUUGCUUCAAGACACAACUGCCUCCUGUCUGUUCUGGGGCUAGUUAAAGUAUCAGCCAGAAGAGUACCUUGUUUGGACUGUGUUUGGAAGAGGAAAAUUGAUGAAUGAGGGUGGCUCAUCAAAAUUUCCGGAUACUGCAGCUCUGGUCGGUCAAGGUCUGGCUCCCAUCCAGUGACAAGAAGAGAGGGUGUGAAGAAAAUAUUAUGAGCUUCUGGUGGUGAUAUCAUCACAGAUGUCUUGUGACCUAUCUGUUGCCCAGAAGGACUUCAUCUGGGAAGACAAGAAGCCUAGCAUACGCUGCAAAUGUUUUAAGUCCAGUCUCUUCAUAUUAUGCAAUCACACAGUAGGGCCUGGACUUAUGUGUCUUGAGUAGAGGCACUUGCCUUUGACUUCUGACCAUAGGAAUUUCAGGAGGAGAGAAAGAGAGAAGAGCCUGUAGGAUUCCCUGGGAAUGGGGAGUCAAGGUUGAAGAGAAAAUUGAGAAGAGAUGGCCUUGGCUGGCUGAGGAAAGAGGGCUGAGGUACAGUUUAUCUUUGUAUGUCUUUGUGCCUGACAGAGUGAGGAGCAGAGGAGGAGAUGUGAAAAGAAGACAUGGAGAAGAAAUCCUCCAGGGUUUUCACUGAGCCUGACCAGUGCAGGCGAGCUGUGGCCUUCAGGACAGUAUUUGGAAGAGUUUUCUAGCAGGAGAGUGGGGGAAAUCAUACUUGGUUGUGAGGAGGCAGUGACUUGAAAGGUAGAGAGUCGCCACAUGGAUGUUCUCCACUGAGUCUUCUGCGGUUUGAACAUAGCUGCUUUCUGACCAGUCGUUAACAAUACGCACCUUUUCUUGGAGCAAGCAGUUUGUUCAGGUU
This is a long non-coding RNA of Dromaius novaehollandiae (emu), 1582 nucleotides long. RefSeq lists it as uncharacterized. The transcript has 4 exons. The record is from RefSeq and is a predicted model, not a curated record. NCBI's taxonomy places the organism in Eukaryota, Metazoa, Chordata, Aves, Casuariiformes, Dromaiidae.